CACAGAGUUAGCCGAUGCUUAUUCCUCAGAUACCGUCAUUGUUUCUUCUCCGAGAAAAGAAGUUGACGACCCGUAGGCCUUCCACCUCCACGCGGCAUUGCUCCGUCAGGCUUUCGCCCAUUGCGGAAAAUUCCCCACUGCUGCCUCCCGUAGGAGUCGUGGGCCGUGUCUCAGUCCAGUGUGGCUGAUCAUCCUCUCGGACCAGCUACUGAUCAUCGCCUUGGUAAGCUAUUACCUCACCAACUAGCUAAUCAGACGCGACGCCCCUCCGUUGGGCGGUAUUUCUCCUUUUGCCUCCUCAGUCCGUACGGGGUAUUACGCCUAACCGUUUCCAGUUUGUUCGUUCCCCUCCCGAAGGGCUAGGUUCUUACGUCGUUACUCCGUACCCGUUCGCCUACGUAGGAAACCACCCUACCUUCCCCGUUCGACCUUGCC
Molecule: ribosomal RNA, 435 nt
Filed under: uncultured bacterium
Lineage: Bacteria
Description: partial 16S ribosomal RNA
Source: RNAcentral